UGUGUGAAACCUGAUGGCUGACCUUGCAUGUGAGAAUCUCCUUGUUGUGCCAUGAAUGAAGGUGGUGGAUGACCUUGCCUUUGCAGUGAUCCUUGUCCAGCCAUGAAAGAGUGUGGUGGAGCUCCUUGUUGUGGCACAAAAGAAGGUGGUGAGGACUGCUGCACGUUUCUUGCAAAAGCUGAUGGCUGAUCUUGCAUCUGCUGUGAUCUUUGUCCAUCCAUGAAGGACGGUGGUGAAGCUCCUUGUUGACCUUGCAUCUGCUGUGAUCUUUGUCCAUUCAUGAAAGACGGUGGUGAAGCUCCUUGUUGAGUGAAAGAAGGUGAUGGUGCCUGAUGCGGAUUUUGUGCAAAAGGUGAAGGCUGACCUUGCAUUUGAUGUGAUCCUUGUCCAGAAACAAAAGAGGGUGGUGAAGUUUGUUGCCACCUUGGAUUAGGCACUGACUGCUGGCCUUGCAUUUGUGAUGAUCCUUGUCCUCCCAUGAAAGAAGGUGGUGAAGCUUGUUGCCAGCUAGGAUUAGGCACUGACUGCUGGCCUUGCAUUUGUGAUGAUCCUUGUCCUCCCAUGAACGAAGGUGGUGAAGCUUGUUGCCAGCUAGGAUUAGGCACUGACUGCUGGCCUUGCAUUUGUGAUGAUCCUUGUCCUCCCAUGAAAGAAGGCGAUGAAGAUUGUUGCGACAUGGAGCUAGGAGCAUAUGCUGCACUUUGCAUUUGUGGUGAUCCUUGUCCUCCCAUGAAAGAGGGAGGUGAAUUUUGCUGCCACAAUGAGUUACGAGCUGAAGGCUGACUUUGCACUUGUGCUGAUCC
This 803-nucleotide long non-coding RNA is filed under the name Nicotiana tabacum (common tobacco). RNAcentral describes it as "long non-coding RNA (NTAB_LNC006617)". Lineage: Eukaryota; Viridiplantae; Streptophyta; Magnoliopsida; Solanales; Solanaceae. The record is from RNAcentral.